AGAGUUUGAUCCUGACUCAGAACGAACGCUGGCGGCGUGCCUAACACAUGCAAGUCCAACGUGAAAGGGGAGCAAUCCCCCGGUAGGGUGGCAAACGGGUGAGUAAUACAUGGGUGAUCUACCUUAGGGAUGGGGAUAUCCUUCCGAAAGGAGGGGCAAUACCGAAUAUUGUCCGGAGCCGUGAAGGGUUCCGGGGAAAGGGAGGCCUCUGAUACAAGCUUUCGCCUUAAGAUGAGCCCAUGGCCCAUCAGCUAGUUGGUAGGGUAAAGGCCUACCAAGGCUACGACGGGUCGCUGGUCUGAGAGGACGACCAGCCACACUGGCACUGAGAUACGGGCCAGACUCCUACGGGAGGCAGCAGUGAGGAAUAUUGCGCAAUGGGGGAAACCCUGACGCAGCAACGCCGCGUGUGGGAAGAAGGCCUUCGGGUCGUAAACCACUUUUGCACGGGACGAAAAAGGGAUAUCGAACAAAUAUCCCCGAUGACGGUACCGUGAGAAUAAGCCACGGCUAACUCUGUGCCAGCAGCCGCGGUAAGACAGAGGUGGCAAGCGUUGUUCGGAACUACUGGGCGUAAAGAGUCUGUAGGUGGUUUGUCAAGUCUUUGGUGAAAGGCCGUAGCUUAACUAUGGGAAUGCCAAAGAGACUGGCAGGCUGGAGGCUGGGAGAGGGAAGCGGAAUUUCUGGUGUAACGGUGAAAUGCGUAGAUAUC
Molecule: ribosomal RNA, 712 nt
Filed under: uncultured bacterium
Lineage: Bacteria
Description: bacterial SSU rRNA
Rfam family: Bacterial small subunit ribosomal RNA
Source: RNAcentral